RNAcentral lists this ribosomal RNA (451 nucleotides) under uncultured organism. Its description in RNAcentral is "partial 16S ribosomal RNA". It matches the Rfam family "Bacterial small subunit ribosomal RNA", at positions 333 to 800 of the family's 1533-position model. The record is from RNAcentral.
ACACUCCUACGGGAGGCAGCAGUGGGGAAUAUUGGACAAUGGGCGCAAGCCUGAUCCAGCCAUGCCGCGUGAGUGAUGAAGGCCCUAGGGUUGUAAAGCUCUUUCACCGGUGAAGAUAAUGACGGUAACCGGAGAAGAAGCCCCGGCUAACUUCGUGCCAGCAGCCGCGGUAAUACGAAGGGGGCUAGCGUUGUUCGGAUUUACUGGGCGUAAAGCGCACGUAGGCGGACUAUUAAGUCAGGGGUGAAAUCCCGGGGCUCAACCCCGGAACUGCCUUUGAUACUGGUAGUCUUGAGUUCGAGAGAGGUGAGUGGAAUUCCGAGUGUAGAGGUGAAAUUCGUAGAUAUUCGGAGGAACACCAGUGGCGAAGGCGGCUCACUGGCUCGAUACUGACGCUGAGGUGCGAAAGCGUGGGGGGCAAACAGGAUUAGAAACCCUAGUAGUCCCAUGA